ACCCGCUGAACUUAAGCAUAUCAAUAAGCGGAGGAAAAGAAACCAACAGGGAUUGCCCUAGUAACGGCGAGUGAAGCGGCAACAGCUCAAAUUUGAAAUCUGGCGUCUUUGGCGUCCGAGUUGUAAUUUGCAGAGGGCGCUUUGGCAUUGGCAGCGGUCCAAGUUCCUUGGAACAGGACGUCACAGAGGGUGAGAAUCCCGUACGUGGUCGCUAGCCUUUACCGUGUAAGGCCCCUUCGACGAGUCGAGUUGUUUGGGAGUGCAGCUCUAAAUGGGAGGUAAAUUUCUUCUAAAGCUAAAUACUGGCCAGAGACCGAUAGCGCACAAGUAGAGUGAUCGAAAGAUGAAAAGCACUUUGGAAAGAGAGUUAAAAAGCACGUGAAAUUGUUGAAAGGGAAGCGCUUGCAGCCAGACUUGCCUGUAGUUGCUCAUCCGGGUUUUUACCCGGUGCACUCUUCUAUAGGCAGGCCAGCAUCAGUUUGGGCGGUUGGAUAAAGGUCUCUGUCAUGUACCUCUCUUCGGGGAGAACUUAUAGGGGAGACGACAUGCAACCAGCCCGGACUGAGGUCCGCGCAUCUGCUAGGAUGCUGGCGUAAUGGCUGU
RNAcentral lists this ribosomal RNA (603 nucleotides) under uncultured fungus. RNAcentral's name for it is "eukaryotic LSU rRNA". It matches the Rfam family "Eukaryotic large subunit ribosomal RNA", at positions 23 to 641 of the family's 3401-position model. Lineage: Eukaryota; Fungi. The record is from RNAcentral.